Molecule: transfer-messenger RNA, 357 nt
Filed under: Gemmatimonadota bacterium
Lineage: Bacteria; Pseudomonadati; Gemmatimonadota
Description: Gemmatimonadetes bacterium transfer-messenger RNA
Rfam family: transfer-messenger RNA
About the family: Bacterial tmRNA, also known as 10Sa RNA or SsrA, is named for its dual tRNA and mRNA-like properties. Its role is to liberate the mRNA from a stalled ribosome.
Source: RNAcentral
GGGGGCGACAGGUUUCGACGGGUUUGACGAGGGAAUCGCGGCGUGCCCAGGGUCUCAGUCACCUGGUAAAUCCACUGGGAAAGUCACAACUGCCAAUUCAAACCUGGCACUGGCUGCGUAAGCUUCGGCUUCACGCACCUGCGUGAGUGGCAGCCCGCCUGAGGCGGCGCUCACGUAUCGCAAAGUCGGGCUGGCGUGAUUCGGGGCCGCAACGGGUCACGUAAGAGUCAGCAGCGGCUUGUUGCUGCCGAGGCCGGCGAGGCGCCGAGGUGGCGAGACGCACUAAGCGUCGCCUACGCACGUAGAAGCGGUUUUGGAGUCUGGCUCGGACCGGGGUUCGAUUCCCCGCGCCUCCAU